RNAcentral lists this ribosomal RNA (509 nucleotides) under Staphylococcus aureus. RNAcentral describes it as "partial 23S ribosomal RNA". It matches the Rfam family "Bacterial large subunit ribosomal RNA", at positions 1487 to 1993 of the family's 2925-position model. The record is from RNAcentral. Lineage: Bacteria; Bacillati; Bacillota; Bacilli; Caryophanales; Staphylococcaceae.
CGAAGCGUGCGAUUGGAUUGCACGUCUAAGCAGUAAGGCUGAGUAUUAGGCAAAUCCGGUACUCAUUAAGGCUGAGCUGUGAUGGGGAGAAGACAUUGUGUCUUCGAGUCGUUGAUUUCACACUGCCGAGAAAAGCCUCUAGAUAGAAAAUAGGUGCCCGUACCGCAAACCGACACAGGUAGUCAAGAUGAGAAUUCUAAGGUGAGCGAGCGAACUCUCGUUAAGGAACUCGGCAAAAUGACCCCGUAACUUCGGGAGAAGGGGUGCUCUUUAGGGUUAACGCCCAGAAGAGCCGCAGUGAAUAGGCCCAAGCGACUGUUUAUCAAAAACACAGGUCUCUGCUAAACCGUAAGGUGAUGUAUAGGGGCUGACGCCUGCCCGGUGCUGGAAGGUUAAGAGGAGUGGUUAGCUUCUGCGAAGCUACGAAUCGAAGCCCCAGUAAACGGCGGCCGUAACUAUAACGGUCCUAAGGUAGCGAAAUUCCUUGUCGGGUAAGUUCCGACCCGCAC